GGCUCAGAUUGAACGCUGGCGGCAGGCCUAACACAUGCAAGUCGAGCGGUAGAGAGAAGCUUGCUUCUCUUGAGAGCGGCGGACGGGUGAGUAAUGCCUAGGAAUCUGCCUGGUAGUGGGGGAUAACGUUCGGAAACGGACGCUAAUACCGCAUACGUCCUACGGGAGAAAGCAGGGGACCUUCGGGCCUUGCGCUAUCAGAUGAGCCUAGGUCGGAUUAGCUAGUUGGUGAGGUAAUGGCUCACCAAGGCGACGAUCCGUAACUGGUCUGAGAGGAUGAUCAGUCACACUGGAACUGAGACACGGUCCAGACUCCUACGGGAGGCAGCAGUGGGGAAUAUUGGACAAUGGGCGAAAGCCUGAUCCAGCCAUGCCGCGUGUGUGAAGAAGGUCUUCGGAUUGUAAAG
RNAcentral lists this ribosomal RNA (407 nucleotides) under Pseudomonas sp. R-37283. RNAcentral describes it as "bacterial SSU rRNA". It matches the Rfam family "Bacterial small subunit ribosomal RNA", at positions 21 to 430 of the family's 1533-position model. Lineage: Bacteria; Pseudomonadati; Pseudomonadota; Gammaproteobacteria; Pseudomonadales; Pseudomonadaceae. The record is from RNAcentral.